RNAcentral lists this ribosomal RNA (369 nucleotides) under uncultured bacterium. RNAcentral's name for it is "bacterial SSU rRNA". It matches the Rfam family "Bacterial small subunit ribosomal RNA", at positions 1 to 353 of the family's 1533-position model. The record is from RNAcentral.
CAAGAGUUUGAUCAUGGCUCAGGACGAACGCUGGCGGCGUGCCUAAUACAUGCAAGUCGAACGCUUCUUUCCUCCCGAGUGCUUGCACUCAAUUGGAAAGAGGAGUGGCGGACGGGUGAGUAACACGUGGGUAACCUACCCAUCAGAGGGGGAUAACACUUGGAAACAGGUGCUAAUACCGCAUAACAGUUUAUGCCGCAUGGCAUAAGAGUGAAAGGCGCUUUCGGGUGUCGCUGAUGGAUGGACCCGCGGUGCAUUAGCUAGUUGGUGAGGUAACGGCUCACCAAGGCCACGAUGCAUAGCCGACCUGAGAGGGUGAUCGGCCACACUGGGACUGAGACACGGCCCAGACUCCUACGGGAGGCAGCA